AUUUAUGGAGAGUUUGAUCCUGGCUCAGGACGAACGCUGGCGGCGUGCUUAACACAUGCAAGUCGAACGGUUCAGUCGUCGGUCUUCAGACGUCGGACGUCGGGAUAGUAAGGAAUUCGCCUUAGCGAAUUCCAGAUUUAAAUCCCUGACGACUGCCGCCUGACGACCGACGACCGAAUAGUGGCGCACGGGU
RNAcentral lists this ribosomal RNA (193 nucleotides) under Desulforamulus profundi. RNAcentral's name for it is "Desulfotomaculum profundi partial 16S ribosomal RNA". It matches the Rfam family "Bacterial small subunit ribosomal RNA", at positions 1 to 107 of the family's 1533-position model. Lineage: Bacteria; Bacillati; Bacillota; Clostridia; Eubacteriales; Peptococcaceae. The record is from RNAcentral.